Molecule: unclassified non-coding RNA, 511 nt
Filed under: Hevea brasiliensis (rubber tree)
Lineage: Eukaryota; Viridiplantae; Streptophyta; Magnoliopsida; Malpighiales; Euphorbiaceae
Source: RNAcentral
GGCUGAAAACCUGAAUUUGAAACUCUUCCAACAUGCCAAAUUUGCAAGAAGAAUAUACCCCCUUUGGCAUGAACAGCAUCUACAAUGGGUUUCCACGCCUCAACUUGUUCUUUGGUCCAAAUACCAGGAGUAUCGGUAUACCCUUGAGCAGUGUCAGAAACUCCCGUUGCUUCAGCUAUAAGAAGACCCCCUUUGGUGGUUCUUUGAGAGUAAUACAAGAUGGCAUGUGGCUGAGGAACGUUGUUGUAAGAUCUCUGCCUGGUUAAUGGUGCUAGAACAAUUCUGUGAGAAAGGUCGAACUUCCCCAACUUGUAUGGUGUGAGAAGAGGAAUAGUGUGGGAUUGAGCAGACAUGUUAGUAUUGUUCGAGUUCUACUUGCUUAACUUUAGUUUUCGAAGCCAAUGGAAUAUAGAAUGGAGAAGGCGAGCAGGGGAAGUGGGCAUAUUUAAAGAAUCAAAUCAGAGAACAGACAAGCCUGUGAUGGCUUCACGAUGUAAAAAGCACAUGAAAG